RNAcentral lists this long non-coding RNA (510 nucleotides) under Elaeis guineensis (African oil palm). RNAcentral describes it as "long non-coding RNA (EGUI_LNC046882)". The record is from RNAcentral. Lineage: Eukaryota; Viridiplantae; Streptophyta; Magnoliopsida; Arecales; Arecaceae.
GCAUCCUAGCAAGAAAAUUUAAAGUCAAAUGGUGGUAAAGCUUCAAUCCAAAAAAGGCCACAAAAUUAAAAGUAUUAGAAUGGUUGUCAAAAUAUUCUCUGCCAAUUCAACCAGCCAUUGAUCCAGUGACAGCACAAUUUCUCCAGUAGAAGUCCAAGACAAGUGCCUAACUUGUAGCAGCCAAAACAAAAGUAGAAUAUAAAAAAUUAUUACUACAAUCCUUAGCAAAGCUAGAAGAAGAAGAAGAAGGAGAAGAAGGAGAACAGGCCAGCUCUUCAUCAGAUCCAGUCUUCUUCCUUGAAGAAGAAGAGCAGUAAUCAGACAAGUUGGCCCAUCCAAAUGCCUCUUCAGCAAUCAGCUCAGCAAAUGCAUGUCAGCAAAUCAACAUGGCUACCCUUCCACUCACAAUAGCAAAAGACUUCACUAUUAGAUUCCAAAGCAUUGUCUACUGUGCUCACAUUGAAUGCCCCAACAGUAAAAGGGGUGUCACAUGACCUUAUUAUACUCAUA